This 348-nucleotide unclassified non-coding RNA is filed under the name soil metagenome. Its description in RNAcentral is "partial contains 5.8S ribosomal RNA, internal transcribed spacer 2, and large subunit ribosomal RNA". The stretch from base 1 to 120 matches the Rfam family "5.8S ribosomal RNA", at positions 35 to 154 of the family's 154-position model. The record is from RNAcentral.
GAUGAAGAACGUAGCGAAAUGCGAUAAGUAAUGCGAAUUGCAGAAUUCAGUGAGUCAUCGAAUCUUUGAACGCACAUUGCGCCCUGUGGUAUUCCGGCGGGCAUGCCUGUUCGAGCGUCAUUUCAACCCUCAAGCCCCCGGGUUUGGUGUUGGGGAUCGGCUCUGCCCUUCUGGGCGGUGCCGCCCCCGAAAUACAUUGGCGGUCUCGCUGCAGCCUCCAUUGCGUAGUAGCUAACACCUCGCAACUGGAACGCGGCGCGGCCAUGCCGUAAAACCCCAACUUCUGAAUGUUGACCUCGGAUCAGGUAGGAAUACCCGCUGAACUUAAGCAUAUCAAUAAGCGGAGGA